This 103-nucleotide ribosomal RNA is filed under the name Salvator merianae (Argentine black and white tegu). The record is from RNAcentral. Lineage: Eukaryota; Metazoa; Chordata; Lepidosauria; Squamata; Teiidae.
GAUUUAGAACAGUUGAGCCUGCACAUGUAGGAAGUUAAACAGGAUGGGGUCUGGUUAGCACUUGGAUGGGAGUCUGCUUGGGAACACCAGCUAUUGUAGACCC